AUGAAAAUAAUUAGCUGGAACUGCCGAGGUCUGGGUCAACAUCAGACAGUCCAAGAGUUGGUGUGCCUCUCAAAGACACACCAACCGGACAUUAUCUUUCUUUCUGAAACAAGGAAAAAAGAGUAUGUUGAGAGUUUGCUCUAUCGCUUUGGUAUGAAAAAUGUGUUUGUUGUUUCUGUGCCAGGAAAAGGUGGUGGUGUAGCAUUUUUUUGGGAUGACCUUUAUUCUCUGCAACUGAACAAAUAUGGUGAACAUUUUAUUGAUAUGUACAUUUGCAAAGAAGAUGGCAGUAAGCGGAGAAGUACCUUUGUCUAUGGUGAACUAAGGGCAAGCCAAAGGUAUGUGAUGUGGGAAUUGUUAAGGCGUAUUAAACCGCUUGGGACCUGA
Molecule: ribosomal RNA, 387 nt
Filed under: Triticum aestivum (bread wheat)
Lineage: Eukaryota; Viridiplantae; Streptophyta; Magnoliopsida; Poales; Poaceae
Description: partial small subunit ribosomal RNA
Source: RNAcentral